CCCAACUCUUCAGUCUUCACUGAAUCACUCUCAUUGUUUCGGCUCCAACUCCAGCCAAAAUGACUUCCAUUGCUCUGAAAUCCUUCGUUGGCCUCCGUCAAGCCUCUUUGGAGAAGCCCCAUUUGACUUCCCAAGCGAAACCCAGCUCGAUAAUUAAUCCCAGAAAACUACCUGUCGUUGCCUCCAAGUCUGCUCCGAAACUCACCAAUCGAGACCUCCGGGUGGCGGUUAUCGGUGGCGGACCAGCCGGAGGGGCUGCUGCCGAUACCCUCGCCAAAGGCGGGGUGGAGACGUACCUAAUCGAGCGUAAGAUGGACAACUGCAAGCCCUGUGGCGGAGCCAUACCGCUUUGCAUGGUAGGGGAAUUCGACCUCCCAUUGGACAUCAUUGACCGCCGGGUCACCCGGAUGAAGAUGAUAUCUCCCUCGAAUGUUGCCGUCGACAUCGGGCAGACCCUGAAGCCCCACGAGUACAUAGGGAUGGUACGGCGCGAGGUCCUGGACUCGUACCUUCGGGGACCGGGCCAAGGUGAGUGGCGCCGAGGUCAUCAAUGGGUUGUUUCUAAAGAUGGACAUACCGAGAGAUGGAGUUUCUCCGUACGUGCUGCAUUACACAGGGUACGACGGGAAAGCCGGUGGGGUUGGGGAGAAGCGGACGUUGGAGGUGGAUGCGGUGAUCGGCGCCGAUGGGGCUAAUUCUCGUGUCGCCAAGGGCAUUGGUGCUGGUGAUUACGACUACGCCAUCGCAUUUCAGGAGAGGAUCAAAAUCCCCGAUGAUAAAAUGGUAUACUAUGAGAACCUUGCCGAGGUGUAUGUGGGAGAUGAUGUUUCACCCGACUUCUAUGGUUGGGUCUUCCCCAAGUGCGAUCAUGUGGCUGUUGGCACCGGCACUGUAACCCACAAAGGAGACAUCAAGAAGUUCCAACUUGCAACAAGGAACAGAGCCAAGGACAAGAUUUGGGGUGGUAAGCUAAUACGAGUUGAGGCACACCCAAUUCCCGAACACCCCCGCCCGCGCAGGUUAUUAGGAAGAGUGGCUUUGGUAGGAGAUGCAGCCGGCUACGUGACGAAAUGCUCUGGUGAAGGUAUCUAUUUUGCUGCAAAGAGUGGGAGGAUGUGUGCUGAGGCUAUUGUUGAAGGGUCGGAGAAUGGGAAGAGGAUGGUGGAUGAGGGGGACUUGAGGAAGUAUUUGAAGAAGUGGGACAAGACUUACUGGCCAACAUACAAGGUGCUGGAUGUGUUGCAGAAGGUGUUCUACAGGUCGAACCCGGCAAGGGAAGCCUUUGUGGAGAUGUGUGCAGAUGAAUAUGUGCAGAAGAUGACUUUUGAUAGCUACUUGUACAAGACAGUGGCGCCUGGGAAUCCUCUGCAGGACUUGAAGUUGGCUGUGAACAUCAUUGGGAGCUUGCUGAGGGCUAAUGCACUUAGGAGGGAGAUGGACAAGCUUAGCCUAUGAAAGAAAUCCAUUUUA
RNA transcript from Juglans regia (Persian walnut), 1470 nucleotides. It is a transcript of the gene named geranylgeranyl diphosphate reductase, chloroplastic-like, with no coding region annotated. Lineage: Eukaryota; Viridiplantae; Streptophyta; Magnoliopsida; Fagales; Juglandaceae. The record is from RefSeq and is a predicted model, not a curated record. The transcript has 2 exons.